AGUUAACACCUGCAUAUUUGACGUUACCUACAGAAGAAGCACCGGCUAACUCCGUGCCAGCAGCCGCGGUAAUACGGAGGGUGCGAGCGUUAAUCGGAAUUACUGGGCGUAAAGCGCAUGCAGGCGGCCUGUUAAGUCAGAUGUGAAAGCCCGGGGCGUUAACCUCCGGAAUUGCAUUUGUAAACUGGCAGGCUAGAGUCUUGUAGAGGGGGGUAGGAAGUUUACUAGGUGUAGCGGUGAAAUAGCGUAGAGAUCUGAAGGAAUACCAGUGGCGAAGGCGGCCCCCUCGGACAAAGACUGACGCUCAGAUGCGAAAGCGUGGGGAGCAAACAGGAUUAGAUACCCUGGUAG
This 351-nucleotide ribosomal RNA is filed under the name uncultured bacterium. RNAcentral's name for it is "bacterial SSU rRNA". It matches the Rfam family "Bacterial small subunit ribosomal RNA", at positions 453 to 793 of the family's 1533-position model. The record is from RNAcentral.